Molecule: ribosomal RNA, 301 nt
Filed under: uncultured bacterium
Lineage: Bacteria
Description: partial 16S ribosomal RNA
Rfam family: Bacterial small subunit ribosomal RNA
Source: RNAcentral
CAGUCGCCGCGGUAAUACGUAGGGUGCAAGCGUUAAUCGGAAUUACUGGGCGUAAAGCGUGCGCAGGCGGUUUGUUAAGUCUGCUGUGAAAUCCCCGGGCUCAACCUGGGAAUGGCAGUGGAUACUGGCUCGCUAGAGUGUGUCAGAGGAUGGUGGAAUUCCCGGUGUAGCGGUGAAAUGCGUAGAGAUCGGGAGGAACAUCAGUGGCGAAGGCGGCCAUCUGGGACAACACUGACGCUGAGGCACGAAAGCGUGGGGAGCAAACAGGAUUAGAUACCCCGGUAGUCCCUGUCUCUUAUAC